RNAcentral lists this ribosomal RNA (714 nucleotides) under uncultured bacterium. Its description in RNAcentral is "bacterial SSU rRNA". It matches the Rfam family "Bacterial small subunit ribosomal RNA", at positions 59 to 774 of the family's 1533-position model. The record is from RNAcentral.
CAGUCGACGAUGAAAGAGAUCCGAUCUCUUCGGAGUGAAGAAUCUCUGGAUUAGUGGCGGACGGGUGAGUAACGCGUGAGCAAUCUGCCUUACACAAAGGGAUAGCCUCGGGAAACCGGGAUUAAUACCAUAUGAUAUCUAUUAACCGCAUGGUUUAUAGAUUAAAGAAUUUCGGUGUAAGAUGAGCUCGCGUCCCAUUAAUUAGUUGGUGAGGGUAACGGCCCACCAAGAUAGCGAUGGGUAGCCGAUCUAAGAGGAUGACCGGCCACAUUGGAACUGAGAAACGGUCCAAACUCCUACGGGAGGCAGCAGUGGGGAAUAUUGCACAAUGGGGGAAACCCUGAUGCAGCGACGCCGCGUGAGCGAUGAAGGCUUUCGAGUCGUAAAGCUCUGCCCUAUGGGAAGAUAAUGACGGUACCAUAGAAGAAAGCCCCGGCUAAUUACGUGCCAGCAGCCGCGGUAAUACGUAAGGGGCGAGCGUUGUCCGGAAUUAUUGGGCGUAAAGAGUGCGUAGGCGGCAAAUUAAGUCAGAUGUGAAAACUAAGGGCUCAACCCAUAGAUUGCAUCUGAAACUGAUAUGCUUGAGUCAAGGAGAGGAAAGUGGAAUUCCUAGUGUAGCGGUGGAAUGCGUAGAUAUUAGGAGGAAUACCGGUGGCGAAGGCGACUUUCUGGACUUGAACUGACGCUGAGGCACGAAAGCGUGGGGAGCAAACA